GCCUCGCUGCUGCUGCUGCUGCCUGUUCUCCCGGCCAGACGAACUGUACGCUCAGAAACUGAAGUACAAGGCCAUCAGCGAGGAGCUGGACCAUGCCCUGAAUGACAUGACGUCCAUAUAACUGUGACGUCACGCGACUACGAGGGUCCUUUGCUACGGCUGCCUUCUGUCGAUCUGUGCAUCGUUGGCUUACACACUUGGACACACACACACACACUUGCUCACACCCAGCCCCAUCUUGUUGCUUGCCCUCCCUCCCCUUCCACCCCCCACUCACCACCACCUCCACCCCUUUCUAACCACAUUGUUGUCUGCACCCCUGGUUUGUUCAUUCUUAUUUCCCCGCCUGUUAUUUUCAACCCCAAAUACCUGCGUCUUGAAAACCCGCUGUCUCUCCACCCUCUCCUCCUCCUCCUCCCUCUCCUCCUCCUCCUGCUUCACUGUCUUCCGCUCGAAAAUAAAGCAUUUCUGCCCUGG
This is a long non-coding RNA of Amblyraja radiata (thorny skate), 477 nucleotides long. RefSeq lists it as uncharacterized. The record is from RefSeq and is a predicted model, not a curated record. Lineage: Eukaryota; Metazoa; Chordata; Chondrichthyes; Rajiformes; Rajidae. The transcript has 2 exons.